This 241-nucleotide long non-coding RNA is filed under the name Carica papaya (papaya). Its description in RNAcentral is "long non-coding RNA (CPAP_LNC015731)". Lineage: Eukaryota; Viridiplantae; Streptophyta; Magnoliopsida; Brassicales; Caricaceae. The record is from RNAcentral.
AAUUGUUUUCAGACGGGUCGUUCGACAUUACGCGCGACUGGAACUAUGGUCCGCUGGUUUAUACGCAAAUGUGAGUCAAGAAUCAGGGGCAUUUUAAUCGAUAUUAAAACGAGAAUGAGAGAUGCAGUGUGAACGCACAAGGAAACAAAUGAUGGGAGGGGGGGAGGGAAGAAGGAGUGUAUGUAUUUUCAGCACGAAAUUAAACAGGUGUGGUCACACUAGCACAAAUGCACCGGAUCCC